UCCACGCUGUAAACGAUGGGCACUAGGUGUCCGGGGUAUUGACCCCCUGGGUGCCGCAGCUAACGCAUUAAGUGCCCCGCCUGGGGAGUACGGUCGCAAGAUUAAAACUCAAAGGAAUUGACGGGGGCCCGCACAAGCGGUGGAGCAUGUGGUUCAAUUCGACGCAACGCGAAGAACCUUACCUGGGCUAGACAACAGUGGACCGUCCUAGAAAUAGGAUUUUCCCUCGGGGAC
Molecule: ribosomal RNA, 234 nt
Filed under: uncultured bacterium
Lineage: Bacteria
Description: partial 16S ribosomal RNA
Rfam family: Bacterial small subunit ribosomal RNA
Source: RNAcentral